GAGACACUUGGUGCGUAGAGGGAAACAAGAGCUGGUGCCUUAGGCAGGCUGGCGAGUGACUGGCGGAGCCGGUGCUGGUUGGAGACAGGUUGAUCGGUAGAUGCCGAGCUUCAAUACCGCAUAGACUGACGAUCUGGCGAAGACUGGAGAGAAGAGCCGGGUAUAUAUACUGCCAGGUGUUGGUGGAUGGAGAUCAGGUGAGUAACAGCAGGAGUGUUGCAGGUGUGUCAGUUCUUGAUUGGAGGUUUCCUUGGGAGGCCGCGCUUCGCCACCCACACACACACACACACACACACACAGAGGGAGAACCAAUAGGGGACAAACAGACAAACGCUAGGAAUGGUAAGCUGCACCAUGGCAGCAGGUUGCAAUGUAAAACAAGGCAGGACACAAUGUUCUAAAAUAUGAACCAUAAUGAUAUGGAUUCAUAUAAUUACCAUGGUGAUGGCAGCGCAUGCAAAUGCGACAGCCAGUAGCUAGCUCCUUCAAAAGUCGCAACAUUUUAGUUUUUUUGUUAUUUUUGUCGCCUUUAUCGCUGAAACAUCUUACAGAGACCUGGCUGCAUCACAACAUGCCGGAUUAAGCUAUCGCACUCGAUGGGCGGACCAUGUUCCGUGGCGACAGAACGCAAGAGAAGGGGCUGGAGGUGGGAGUGGCAGAGGGUCAUCAGCAUCACUGGCAACACCUGGGCCUGUGUGCCAGUACUCCUUCAAAAACCCUCUUGGAGCUCAGUUGCUGUGUGCUACGCUACCUAAGUCACCCAUUUGGUUUUUAGUUGAUGUUUGGCUUGUGUUGUUAUACCAUACAAUAUUACAGAGGCUGAGGCAUUGCACCCACACACUUCCCCACUCAUGCUCCCACCUACACUACUGAUCUUACUGAUUACACAUGCCACGGUUAGUUUAAGUCCUCUCUUGUGUUAUUCCUUUUUUAAUAAAUAAUUUGUUAAUUGGCUUGGUUUUGUGCAUCUUCGCUUUUGUCAUGGCCUUGUGGCCCAGUUUGUGACACUGCAACAGCAAUGCUUUAUGGUAAUUUCUAUAUUUUGUGUCCACUUUGUGUCACAGAGAAGGGUUACCAUUUCAGUAUAAUAUAUUGGGUUUAGAAAUAAGAAUAAGAAAAGAUAAAAAAUAUAUGAAGGAAGGAAAAUUAUUGAAAAAAUUAAAUCAUUAUUUUUACAUGCAUUGUGGAAGUAACCAAUGUCAAAAAAACACUACAGGGUUAAGUUUAAACUGGAAGAGACAGGAAACUGCAUGAAUUUGGAAUUCUAUCUGGAAUUAAUGAAUUAAUGUAGGAUGUAUCAUGAAUUCUGGUUGCUCACCAUUAAUAAAUGAUGAAGUCACUAUGAAUUUAUGUGAUUAGUUAACUUGAUGAUACUGUUAACUCACAGUUACUUCAUACAUGAAUUAUGCCACCUAAAUAGCUGGAAUCCAGUUACUAGUGAUCAGCCUCUGAAAGCAGGACAGUUCUCAUAAAAAUGAAGCUGUUUUUAUCAAACUGGUCAUCAGAUGCAUACAUCUACAAAUUGCUGAAUGACCCAGUGGUCCUUGUUUAUAUCACAUUUACAAGCGAGGGGUGGAACAUGAGUUUAUUUAUUUUCUAUCAUCAUUGGUUUGUUUGUUGCUAAAAUGAUAAGAGUGUAGCACAGAAGGGAAUGGUGCACUAAAACCAAAAAUAUCUACCAGGUGCUGGCUGACAAAUCAAGGGAGAAUGGACAGACAUGUUAAAGCAUACAUGCAUACAUACAAAGCAACAGUUUACAUUGUAAGGAAAAGAGGAAGAAAAACUGAGUAUUAAUGUUGUCAGGGAUUUGAUUGUGACUUGUCCAUAUUUCUAGAGAUUGUUUGUAUUGUUUGCAUCUAAAAAAAAAAUAUAUGAGAAAAGGUCCUGUUCUGCUUUCAGAGGCUGAUCAGAUGUAUCUUUUCUAUAUAUCCAGCUGAUUUGGUGUGGUUACGGGUUAGUUAAUAGUGACUUAAUCAUUUCUUAAUAGAGAGCAACAGGAAUUCACCAUACAUCCUGCAUUCAUUCAUGCAUUAAAACGUCAUUAGUCAUACAUAAGUUAUGCAUUACUGUGUAUUGCACCCUUAUUUUAAAGUAUUUCCAACUUCUCUACUAUGGAGCUCAAGGGUUUUUCAGUGAGAGCCUACAAAACACUUAACCGACCUAUAGUUAAAAUGUAUUUUUCAUCAGAGCUAACAGCUCUUUACAUAUAGCCUUAGUUAAAUCCAUAGAAUUUAGUCUAGGUUUUAUGAUAAACGGCUGGAUCAGUAGCCUUCAACUAAGCUCUAUUACAGGUAUGUGGUGUUUUGUGUAAUUGGCUCGUUCUGGUUUCACACUGAUUCAACCGCGAAAAUCAAACAAUUUCUGUCACAUUUUUAUACUGCAAGUGUGUGCAAAUGAUGCUGCUUCUGUGUUUACAAGGUGGUUAUAGAAUUAAAUGGAGACGUGUGUCAAAGAAAAACAGCGACCCUGGGAGGCAGAAAUGGUGCACUACAUUCGGCCCAUCACAUUCCCAGUUCAGUCGGUGAGCAACACAAAAGCAGUUUGCUUUGGUUUGAGAGGUAAUCAGUAUCCUCAUAUGCUUAACUUAAAUGAGAUUGCUUGAAUCUGGAGAUACAUAUAUUUAGGUGUCGUAUGCAAAUCUAAUUCUACGUUGCUUGUAUUUCAGUGAGACGCUUGCCGCAGAAGCAAGACAUAGUUAAUUACGAUUUAUUCUACCAACCAUGACAGUUCUGUUAACCGGAGACAAGACAUAUUCCUCUUUUUGUAUUUACAGAAAUCUCAGUGAUAUUCAGCUUUGAUUAACAUUAAUGUUUCUGCCAACUGAUGUUAAUGAAUACUUCAUCAUGUAGCCUAAGCGUGCAUAAAGCUUUUAGGAUAGUGCUACUAUAUUCUAUAAUGUACAUCAUUUCAUAAUGGCUAAAAUGUCAGUAUUUGUAACACCAAACAGUACAUGUUACAUUCUGUUUUUUUGUGCUAAUAUUAUUGCGGACUUUUAAAAAUUAGGCUACUUAAAAAGUUGACUGAAUAAUUAAUGACCGAUUGUGGACAUUGAUAUUCGCAUCGUUUAUUUAGAUCCAGAAAAAUAUUAAUUUAUAUAUAUUGUAUCUGGGAAAUUUCUAAUGGUCGAUGCAGGCAAAUUUUUACAAAUGCGGGGGGAAAUUCUAGGGUUCAGUGGAAGCUAUACUUCGUGCCCUCUGGUUUUUCAUCAGUACCAAAACUCCUGCUGCUACACCAGCCCUCCUUUUGUGGUAAGCAACGACUUCACUUCCCCUAUGAUUACAUCCUCAACUUUUCCCCAUGCAUUCCUCAGGAACGUAAGAAUACUUCAUAGAGCAUCCGCUAUCUUAGAGCGAUGUACGAGCCCAGUCGGAGGGGAAAUUCCACAGCGGGCUGCUGCAUAGAACUGGACUGUAAUUGGAUGCAGCUUGAGAGUCAGCCGCCUCUGUCUCUGCCUCGGCCUCUCGCUUGCUUACUUGAAGCGGCGGUGAAAUAUGGAGAGAGAGAGCGUUUUAAUGGAACCUGUAGUCGAUUUCCCAUUAUGAAUAAAAAAAGAAAGUAAACUGGCCGCCAAAGCUCGGGGCGUGGCCUUCCUAUGAACCUCAGACUGGCAUUGGCCGCCACACAUACACACACAGUGAACAUGCAUCUCCAUUAACCCUCCUGCCCCUCCGCAUCCUCUUUGCAACCCAAAGGCUCCAAGGUAGUCGAAUCACAAAAUAACGGUGCUAAUAUCAUCUCAGAGUAGGUGUGCGCAUAAGGAUGAUGCGCCAGGAGAAGCAGCAGUAGCAGCACGCGCUACAGACCCCAAUGUCACCUCAGUGUCUGCCGCCGCCAGGUGUGCACGAGAUGCAGCCGUUACCACAGAGCCUUCACUAAGGCAUCGUUAUGAGCGUGACGCACGUGUUCACUGUUCGCAGCAUUCCAACAAAAAGGACCCCCCUCCCCCGCCACUCUCCUCCCCCUCCUCUACCCACGUAACUCAGGAACCGAACCGGCAGCUCAAGUCCAGACUGCCGCCUGCAACUGGACACGUGCCCGCUUUCAGCAGCCUGACCGCCGAGCCACCGCGUCAUCAUCACCCCAUGGUCAUAGCGAUGCUUCUCCCAGGGUGGGUUCGGUGCUAUCUCGGUUUCGGGACUGCAGUCUGCUCACCCUCACAACUGUGGCGAGCAUCUUCCGUUUAAAGUCCACGAGGGCGGCUUUGCAAUCCGUCACAAUCGGAUCUGUGGUGGUGAUGAUCGCCAAGGAAGUCCCGUCUCACUACCACCGCUGACCGUGCACACCUUCUCCCAAGUGGUGUGCCGUCUGCAGACCUCAUACCUCCUCGUGGAUGAGAGCGACCCGUUAUCGUUGGAGUCAGAUAAUGAUGGCAGCCGGGUAUCACCGACGUCUAAGAGGAGGAAGAGGAGUGCUGCUGAUGCUCCAUGACAGACGGCAAGAGGAAAUAACAGGAAGGAAUAAGGAAGGACGUGAUUCGGUUCCGGUCCAAAACAGUUGCAGAUGAGCCCGGCCUUCGGCGCCUGGUUGUCGGCCCGAGCCAAAGAAGCGCUGUCCUUACACCAAGCAGCCGACUGGAAAAAUAAUUCCUCUUCAGCAUGUACCUGACCCGACAGCGCCGCCUCGAGAUCUGCAGGAG
Siniperca chuatsi (mandarin fish) is the source of this 4636-nucleotide long non-coding RNA. RefSeq lists it as uncharacterized. NCBI's taxonomy places the organism in Eukaryota, Metazoa, Chordata, Actinopteri, Centrarchiformes, Sinipercidae. The record is from RefSeq and is a predicted model, not a curated record. The transcript is spliced from 4 exons.